RNAcentral lists this ribosomal RNA (253 nucleotides) under uncultured bacterium. RNAcentral describes it as "partial 16S ribosomal RNA". It matches the Rfam family "Bacterial small subunit ribosomal RNA", at positions 524 to 776 of the family's 1533-position model. The record is from RNAcentral.
UACAGAGGUGGCAAGCGUUGUUCGGAAUUACUGGGCGUAAAGGGCGCGUAGGCGGCCUUCUAAGUCAGACGUGAAAUCCCCCGGCUUAACCUGGGAACUGCGUCUGAUACUGGGAGGCUUGAGUAUGGGAGAGGGAUGUAGAAUUCCAGGUGUAGCGGUGAAAUGCGUAGAUAUCUGGAGGAAUACCGGUGGCGAAGGCGGCCUUCUGGACAGUGACUGACGCUGAGACGCGAAAGCGUGGGGAGCAAACAGG